CCUCUAGAAGACUCCCAAACAUGGAAGUCUCGCUCGCGCGUCCCGCCUUCUUGUUUCGUCUUGAAUCUCUCCUCUUUCACUUCGUCACGCGCUCACACGGACAAAUUAACCUGAGAGAGAGAGACAGACAGAGACAGAGACAGAGAUGCGCAGCAGUUGGUUCUCUGUGUUUUGUUCUUCAUUUGUAUUGGCAAUGUCGCUGCGCUCGGGUGUCAUUUUCUCGAUGGUUUUUUUUUUGGGUAUUUUCAUGAGGAAAGCUUUUUCCCUUUUGAAGCAGAAAUUUGGUCAGUCUUUUGAAGUUUCUCGUGUUUGGUUCAGGUCAUUUGGGGAGGUGGUAGGAAAAGAAAGGGACGAGGUAAACAAUUAAUGGGUCUAAAACAAUGCCCUGAACCAAGGGCUUGCAGCUGAACUGUUUGAUCAAAUGUCUCAAUCACGUAACAUUCCGGUUAUUACAACUCUCGUAGUAUGCUAAACAGCGAAUGCUAGGUUGCUUGAUUUAUUCCAAGAUCAAGGAUAAAGAUGGGCCUUCCUAUGUGAUGCAUAUCUUUUGGUGUUGGAGAUAGGGCUUCCAAGGAGGGUAAAGAGGCACUGCAUCGGUCGAUCCUUUUGCAAGCUUGACUUACCAAUUAGCCAAGACCUCUGGAGCCGUUACUAGUGCAGGUUCGACAUAUGCUAAAGAGAUUGUGGAGCAAUAAAGAUGAUAUUUCCUGCAGGAGAUGACGAUGCAUUGGUUGUGGCAAAAGCUCAAGCUGUGGUGUCGCUACACCAGAAAGAAGCAGAGUUACUGAGUCCCAAAGAAAGAACAAGCUUAAAUAUUCAGAAAAGGAAAAGCAUCAUAAACCCGAGGAAGAUCACAGCCAUCCUUUCCAUUGCCUCAUUGGUGCUUCAACUUUCCUGAGGCAAAACCAAAGGCUGCCAUCCACCCUGAAGGACCAAAGCUGAAUGACGACAUCCUUCAUGAGUUCAUUCCGCGUGUAAGGAUGCGCAACUGCAUUCCACCUCUCUGUCAGCAUAUAAGAAAAAUUUUUGCUCGUGUAAUUCCACUUCUUAAGUCGCAACCCAUGAGAAACUUCGAGACACGGCUCAAUGAGGAAAACCUUAAUGCCCUCCUUCCUAUUUAGGAUUCGGAUCUCUUCUUCGCUCAAGAAACCUUGCCUUAUCUGCUUGUUGGGUAUAGAGAGCCUACUUUGGCCGCAGCUCAUGUCU
Molecule: long non-coding RNA, 1206 nt
Organism: Eucalyptus grandis
Lineage: Eukaryota; Viridiplantae; Streptophyta; Magnoliopsida; Myrtales; Myrtaceae
Exons: 4
Source: RefSeq, a predicted model, not a curated record